RNAcentral lists this ribosomal RNA (253 nucleotides) under uncultured bacterium. Its description in RNAcentral is "partial 16S ribosomal RNA". It matches the Rfam family "Bacterial small subunit ribosomal RNA", at positions 524 to 777 of the family's 1533-position model. The record is from RNAcentral.
UACAGAGGGUGCGAGCGUUAAUCGGAAUUACUGGGCGUAAAGCGUGCGCAGACGGUCACGUAAGUCGGGUGUGAAAGCCCCGGGCUCAACCUGGGAAUUGCAUUCGAGACUGCGUGGCUAGGGUGCGGAAGAGGGAAGCGGAAUUUCCGGUGUAGCGGUGAAAUGCGUAGAUAUCGGAAGGAACACCAGUGGCGAAAGCGGCUUCCUGGUCCAGCACCGACGUCAGGCACGAAAGCGUGGGGAGCAAACAGGA